GACGAACCGUGCAAACGUUGUUCGGAAUCACUGGGCUUAAAGGGCUCGUAGGCGGCCAACUAAGUCGGAUGUGAAAUCCCCAACUUAACCUGGGAACUGCAUCCGAUACUGGUCGGCUUGAAUCCGGGAGAGGGAUGCAGAAUUCCAGGUGUAGCGGUGAAAUGCGUAGAUAUCUGGAGGAAUACCGGUGGCGAAGGCGGCAUCCUGGACCGGCAUUGACGCUGAACAGCGAAAGCUAGGGGAGCAAACGGG
RNAcentral lists this ribosomal RNA (252 nucleotides) under uncultured bacterium. Its description in RNAcentral is "partial 16S ribosomal RNA". It matches the Rfam family "Bacterial small subunit ribosomal RNA", at positions 524 to 776 of the family's 1533-position model. The record is from RNAcentral.